GACGAACCGAGCGAACGUUGUUCGGAAUCACUGGGCUUAAAGGGCGCGUAGGCGGGUGAUCAAGUCCGGGGUGAAAUCCUCCAGCUCAACUGGAGAACUGCCUCGGAUACUGGUUGCCUCGAGGAAGGUAGGGGUGUGUGGAACGUUCAGUGGAGCGGUGAAAUGCAUUGAUAUUGAACGGAACUCCGGUGGCGAAGGCGACACACUGGACCUUUUCUGACGCUGAGGCGCGAAAGCUAGGGGAGCAAACGGG
This 253-nucleotide ribosomal RNA is filed under the name uncultured bacterium. RNAcentral's name for it is "partial 16S ribosomal RNA". It matches the Rfam family "Bacterial small subunit ribosomal RNA", at positions 524 to 776 of the family's 1533-position model. The record is from RNAcentral.